AAGAGGAUGAGAACCUCCGAAGGAGGUUUGAGCCGAGCGUAGCGAGACAACGUUGCUUCAGCAACGGCCCGCAGGGGAAUAAUCCUCUC
RNAcentral lists this small RNA (89 nucleotides) under Cedecea davisae. RNAcentral describes it as "RtT RNA". It matches the Rfam family "RtT RNA", at positions 17 to 119 of the family's 130-position model. Rfam says of the family: This family represents a bacterial cis-regulatory element known as RtT RNA. The exact function of RtT is unknown although it is thought that it may be involved in changing the cellular response in relation to amino acid starvation. Lineage: Bacteria; Pseudomonadati; Pseudomonadota; Gammaproteobacteria; Enterobacterales; Enterobacteriaceae. The record is from RNAcentral.